This 148-nucleotide ribosomal RNA is filed under the name uncultured Bacillota bacterium. RNAcentral's name for it is "uncultured Firmicutes bacterium partial 16S ribosomal RNA". It matches the Rfam family "Bacterial small subunit ribosomal RNA", at positions 360 to 525 of the family's 1533-position model. The record is from RNAcentral. Lineage: Bacteria; Bacillati; Bacillota.
AAUAUUGGUCAAUGGACGCAAGCCUGACCCAGCAACGCCGCGUGAGUGAUGACAGCCUUCGGGUUGUAAAGCUCUGUCUUCAGGGACGAUAAUGACGGUACCUGAGGAGGAAGCCACGGCUAACUACGUGCCAGCAGCCGCGGUAAUA